AUACGUAGGGGGCGAGCGUUGUCCGGAAUGAUUGGGCGUAAAGGGCGCGUAGGCGGCCCGGUAAGUCUGGAGUGAAAGUCCUGCUUUUAAGGUGGGAAUUGCUUUGGAUACUGUCGGGCUUGAGUGCAGGAGAGGUAAGUGGAAUUCCCGGUGUAGCGGUGAAAUGCGUAGAGAUUGGGAGGAACACCAGUGGCGAAGGCGACUUACUGGACUGUAACUGACGCUGAGGCGCGAUAGUGUGGGGAGCAAACAGUAUUAGAUACCCUGGUAGUCCACGCUGUAAACGAUGAUUACUAGGUGUUGGGGACCUAUAGGUCUUCGGUGCCGCAGCAAACGCAAUAAGUAAUCCACCUGGGGAGUACGUUCGCAAGAAUGAGACUCAAAGGAAUUGACGGGG
RNAcentral lists this ribosomal RNA (397 nucleotides) under uncultured bacterium. RNAcentral describes it as "partial 16S ribosomal RNA". It matches the Rfam family "Bacterial small subunit ribosomal RNA", at positions 523 to 918 of the family's 1533-position model. The record is from RNAcentral.